GGCUGCUGCUGCCCGGGCCGACGCGCGCCCUGGACGUCCCUGCUCCAGCUUGGGCUCGGCGAGGACGUUGCAGGUAGCCGGGACAUCUUUCUCAUCCUCUUGGAACAAGUAGGGACACAGAUGUCUCAUUCAGGUUCUUGAUUGAAUGGAAAAUGGAAAUCUAAGGCCUUUUUAUAAUGGAAGCGCUGUUGAAUGAGAAACCCACGCGUACGGAGUUCAGAUGGCAGGCUUCCUGGAUAACUUCCGAUGGCCGGAGUGCGAGUGUAUUGACUGGAGUGAGCGCAGGAACACGGUAGCCUCCGUGGUUGCAGGAAUCUUGUUCUUUACAGGCUGGUGGAUAAUGAUCGAUGCGGCCG
This 356-nucleotide long non-coding RNA is filed under the name Rattus norvegicus (Norway rat). RNAcentral's name for it is "long non-coding RNA NONRATT006872". Lineage: Eukaryota; Metazoa; Chordata; Mammalia; Rodentia; Muridae. The record is from RNAcentral.